Molecule: transfer RNA, 82 nt
Filed under: Streptomyces rimosus subsp. rimosus
Lineage: Bacteria; Bacillati; Actinomycetota; Actinomycetes; Kitasatosporales; Streptomycetaceae
Description: tRNA-Arg
Source: RNAcentral
GACGGGACUGGUCAACCGGGUCCGCUCGGUCUUCGGUACGGAGCUGGGCCUGCGCGCGGUGUUCGAGACGCCGACCCCGGCG